GACCGUCGGUGUCCAGACGCUCGGACCUGAUGAAAUCUAAACUAAAAGGAUCAGGUUAAAAUUUUAGGAGGAUUCAAUAUGUGACUCUAAACCCUUUCAGGUAAAAAUUCUAGGAGGGUUCAAUAUGCGGCUCUAAACCCCUACAGGUUCAGGUUCUGUCUAGGCAAAUCGGGCUGGAAGCAAAUUUACCCAUAGAAUUCUAGUCUCGAAUACCCCUUCAGGUCAAAAUUCUAGAUUUCUUGUGAGAUUGCGAAUAAAUCCUGUUCUUGUUACAUCUUCGGUUUGUUAAAAAAAAAAGAAAGAUUUCUGGGGUUUUUGGCUAUUUACGAUUACGAAAAUUUCACCAGCUCUUCAUAUAAUGCUUUUUGGCUCUUUUAGUCUUCUGUACUCUGAUUCGCCCCAAUGAAAUUAUCACCAUUAGCAGUCAGAUUCCACCUCUCAUUUCUUCUUACAGAUUCCUUGAAAACUUGUAUCCCUGUUGAGUUGAUAAUCUCUUUGUAUUUCCUUAUGGAUUUCUUGAUAAUGCCUCUGGCUUGUAGAAAAUUUGUUCAAUUCCAAAGGCCACUGUUAGCUCAGCAAGUUUUGUUCAGCUGUUAUAUUUUGAAAUUUUUUUUCUCUCACUUCGUUAAUAAGAGAAAUUAGCUUCGGAGAACAGACGGGAGGGAACCCAUCUCAAGAGCUUAUUGCAACCAGCAAGUGCUUAAAGGAAAAAACCUCAGUUCCAAUUGCGCAAGUGGUACUUUAGCAGGCAAGAAUUGAAGAUUGUUCCCCUUCUAAAUGGACGGAAUUGACUUUGAGAAAGAGUCUCCACUAUAGAAGUUUUACUGCUCAUUCAUUAACAUCUUUGCAAGAAGCUUAAAGGGUAAGCUUAGGAUAUUGCACAUAUUACUGGGUAUUUGCACUCUGAGAGAGAGUCUUAGUCGUUUGUUUUUGGCUCUUACUGUAUCUGAUGCUUUCUGGUUCAGUGCUUCCAUUGGCAUUGCAUAUUAACCUCUCUGAGAUGUUCAUUAUAAUGACAGUAUUAGUAAAAGAUAGUUCCCGUUAUUGCUUCAGUUUUUAGAUUAGGUACUUCGUUAGCAAUGCCUGCUAAUUCAUUCAAUAAAAGGUUUGCCCCCUGUUGUUGUAGAAUUUCGUCUACCACACUGUCUCAUGCAUUUCCUUUGUCAAAUCUAUUUGUUUUGAAUUGCUUACCAGCGUGUAUCUCGUAGCUGACUGGUUGACAUUGGAUUUGGACCUUUUUUCUUUUAUAUGGUUAUAUUCUUCAGACCUUGCUGCGAUUAAACCUGCACAGAUGAUUUUUUCCAUGGAAAUUUUUUAACUUUCACAUUGAUAGCAAAUCAAUUUUCAUUUUUUAACAGAUGCUGAAUCUGUGAUCCUCUGUUCAAGAGAGAAUCAACAUACCUAAAAUGGUUGAUGUGCAAACUUCUCAACUAGUUUCAAUGAUCAACCCUGAGAAAGUGUUGCUCUAUAGUUGUCUAUUAUGAUGUUAUCCUUCUCAUGAUGUGAUUCCCAUGGAAUAGAAACUAUUUUCCUUUCCUUAUAGCCUUUGGCAACUCAUAUUCACCUAGAUGGUGAUCACUGAUGUCUGCCUUUCAGACCCCAGGUGACGAUACUAUGUCCAUUGAUCUUAUGCCAGCAGUUUUACAUGCAUCACUGUCAUGCAAAGAAGGAUUGGCAGUUACCCGUUGCACCCUAACAUGACAUUUCUUUUCCUAUUUCUGAGUACUAUAUGUUUAGAAUGACUAAUGUUUAUUUGUUGAGGAAAAAAACUUGGUGCAUAAUGUAAGCAUCCUUUAUAUCAAACUUGCAGAUGAGAUGAUGUGUUUGUUCUUUAUUGUUAUUAAAUGAUUUCUUUACAACACUCAUACACACAUAAAAAGAGAGAUAGAGAGAGCUUCCUCUGUGGUAUUUUGCAUGUCAAAGUAGGAAGAUAUUAGGGUUCUUGAUCCCUAACAGAGAAAUUAGACAGUAGAAAAGGAUCGGAAUAUAGCAGAGAGAGAACUAGAAUUUAGAGAGAAAAGAAUAGAGAAAGAUAGAGAGAACUGAGUUAUAUCCUAGAUAUUUCUGGUUAGUUUUUGUAGUUACAAUAGCUGUUAUUUCUACAGAUUUAGAUCUAUCUAGUAACAAUUCCUGCUACUUUCUAACUAACUCAACAACUUCAGUUCGAUUCCUAACACCUGCUAAGUACUUGCAGUUCCCACUACCCAUCUAAUUCCCUUCUAUGCACAAUCUCAUCUCUGCUUCAAUAUUGAAGGUUUUGUUUGUGAAUAUGUACUGCUUCUUAUGUAUUCUUUUUAUUCAUUUCAACUGAAUUAAGGUUUGGCAGUUGUUUGUGAAUAUAUUGGUUUGAUUAUUUUAUUGUUUUUCAUUAUUGACAGUUGUGAAAAUUUGCAGAAAAUGGAAACUGCAGGCAUGUUUCUCGCUUGCAAAAUAGAAGAAAACCCACGCUUGCUGUGUGAUGUUGUUGUUGUGGAUUAUGAUAUGAAAAAUAAAUGGGAUUAUUCUGCCACAAAGAAUCCAGACAAUAGAAAUUUGUGAUAAGCAGAAGGAAUUGAUCACAAGCAGGGAGAGGUUAUUAUUGGCAACAGUUGCAUUUGAUCUCAAUAUCCAACUCCACUACAGGCUACUUGUUAAUGCUUUAAAUAAACUGAAUAUAUUCCCAGAUCUUGCAAAAGUAGCAUGGAAUUUUGUGAAUGACUGGCUUUGUACAACAUUGUGUUUGCAGUACAAACCCCAUUAAAUUGCAGCUGUUUCGUUGUUCCUUGCUGCCAAAUUUCAAAAAGUAUAACUGCCUAUAGAAAAGGGAAGGGUUUGGUCGCUGGAGUUUUGAUAUUUCAGUCAAGCAAUUAUGGGGUACAUUGAUUAUCCCCUUUGUUCUAUAUUACUAUAUAUGAAUCUUGGAAAUCCACGGUCAUGAAAAUGUCUAUCAAGGACAGUUGACAGUACUAGUACAUAUCAUUGUUAUAUUUUAAUUUAAAUUGGAAGCUGCUGACGAAGGUUAAAGAUAUGGAACAUGUGAAGGUUAAUUCCUUUAGUUCAAUUCAUAUAUUUUUGUAUUGAGAGACUGUACUCAGCAUACAGUUACGUUGAACGGAUAAUAUUUCCUAUGUCAUUAGUUGAUGUUUAGUUGAGAGACGGUCAGGGUUUUAGAGCAAGACAAGAAACAAGCUGUGGCUUUACCACAUUAGAGGUAGUGACUACUGAGUGGCCCUUCAUUUGGAAAAAUGAAUACCAGUAGGACCCACAAUAAAAAAUUAUUAGUGUAUCAAAUUGCUAGUUCACAUUCUAGUGGCUGAGCUUUGAUAGGAUAUCAGGCCUUGAGUGAGAGAAAUUUUGGUCUGAAACAAUCAAUAUUGUUGAUGACGAUGGUGAGGAGUAAACCAAGAAAAUGCUAGCUGUAAGAUUGUCCCAGUUCAAGAUUCUUAUAGUAAGAUUGAUGCUAACCAGAUUAGAGAGGCAUUGAGGAGGAGGCAUGAAGGUGCUGCAAAUCAAAUGUCUGGUGAAAUCAUGAACACUGAAUUAAGCGGUGAAGCUUGGAUGAAGAGGGAGCUGAGAAUGGAAUAGAGCUUGAACCAACUUGUUCCAAAAAGAAACAAAGAACGUUAUGAUGAGGUUGUCAAUUAAAUUAUCCUGAGUUACAUGCUAAUGACUAGAAUUCUUCCUUAAUAUCUGUAAGUUUCAGGAUCAUUUUGUAUGGAAGACAUUGCAAAAUUACAGACUCCAUGACAUUGUGCUGCAAGAAUAAUGGCCAGGUAGAUGCAGCGUUAUUAUGUACAGCUUUUUAGAGAGUGGAGCCAAUUCUGUGUGUGUUUUCUGUACUGACUGCCAGAAGUAAUAAAUUGCAUAAAUCAUUUUAUGUGAAUGAGAAAGCAAUGAUAUUAUCAUCAUGGUUUGUGUUGGCGUAUUAAGCUUUUAAUCAUUUCUUAAAAGACACAUGCAAAUGGCUUUUGUUAGGAAUUCAAAUUAAGUUGCAUUUACUUUGUAUCUGAAAUGAUGGAGAGGAUUAACAAGGACGGAGGAUUUUGAAUUUCAUAUUAUAUCAAGCUGAAAUCUAAUAGGCCUAUAAAGACAAACAUUUAGCGGCCGACCCUCAUCUUCCUUACUUUUUUUUUCCUUGUCAAGAAAAGGAUGAAAAAAAAAAUCAGAGAAAGUGCUUGUGAAAUUGAUGAGAAGGACAAGUAUUCACCGAUCUUUUCUCUUUUCCAGUUCACUUUCUCAGGACCUUUUGCACUUUCAGCCUUUCACCAUAUCUUUUUCACUUUUCCAACUUCAAACAAGACAUAAAAUCUGUUUAUUUCUUUCUCUCAUUAAUCAUUCACUUUCAUUUUUAUUUUUCUUGCUGAUCAAAGCCCUCAAAGCAAAGGAAAAAGUUGAAGAAAUCAAGAAGCAAGCCAGAUAAUAAAAGUUUCAAGUUCCACACAAACUAAACCAAAAAUUAAACUCAACCCAGAUGAGCAUAGACAAGAAUGUGUGGGGAAACAUGCAUGUGGUAUUCAAAAUUGGUGCCACUCUGC
Manihot esculenta (cassava) is the source of this 4514-nucleotide long non-coding RNA. RefSeq lists it as uncharacterized. The transcript has 3 exons. The record is from RefSeq and is a predicted model, not a curated record. Lineage: Eukaryota; Viridiplantae; Streptophyta; Magnoliopsida; Malpighiales; Euphorbiaceae.